This 566-nucleotide ribosomal RNA is filed under the name uncultured marine stramenopile. RNAcentral's name for it is "bacterial SSU rRNA". It matches the Rfam family "Eukaryotic small subunit ribosomal RNA", at positions 477 to 1050 of the family's 1831-position model. The record is from RNAcentral.
CAUGCUUGGACUCAAUGUUUAAGCUUUGGAAUGAGAACAAUUUAAAUCCCUUAUCGAGGAACAAUUGGAGGGCAAGUCUGGUGCCAGCAGCCGCGGUAAUUCCAGCUCCAAUAGCGUAUAUUAAAGUUGUUGCAGUUAAAAAGCUCGUAGUUGGAUUUCUGGUGAGAUAUCUUUAGCCUGACCGGAAGGUCUUGUUUGAUGAUUAUUUUGCCCUUCUUGUCAUGAACCUGUUGAUCUUCAUUGGUCGAUAGUGGACUGGCAUCUUUUACUGUGAAAAAAUUAGAGUGUUCAAGGCAGGCAUCGCCGUUGAAUACAUUAGCAUGGAAUAAUAAGAUAGGACUUUGGUGGUCUAUUUUUGUUGGUUUGCACGCCAAAGUAAUGAUUAAUAGGGAUAGUUGGGGGCAUUCGUAUUCUAUUGCUAGAGGUGAAAUUCUUAAAUUUAUGGGAAAGACGAACUACUGCGAAAGCAUUUACCAAGGAUGUUUUCAUUAAUCAAGAACGAAAGUUAGGGGAUCGAAGAUGAUUAGAUACCAUCGUAGUCUUAACCGUAAACUAUGCCGACUUGC